CCCCUAAUUAUUAAUACUAACUAACCAAAAUAAAAACCCAACAAAAAAAUUAAUCAAGAGAAACAAAAACAUAUAAGAAUAUUUACUAAUUAAUUAAAGCAUAAAUAGAUUAAAAUUUAGGAUAACAUAAUUUCAAAUUUAGGGACAGUAUCCAACUUUGAAAUCGAAUCGAAUUUUGGGGUAUUUUGCUGUUGCUACCACCAUUAUGAGGAUAUCACCACCGUCGGAUUGGGUGAAGGUUGGUUAAUAGGAUUUGGGGAUUUAGGGUUUGACAUAUGAAGAAAUGAGCUAAAACUCAUUUGGGAGAGGGGAGGAAGUUUGCUGCUAUGCUUUUGCGCCUUUGUUAAAACAGAGGCUGUUCUAUAAUAUAUAUAUUUUUAAAUCUGAGCCAAAACAACGUUGUUUUAGC
This 409-nucleotide long non-coding RNA is filed under the name Prunus dulcis (almond). RNAcentral describes it as "sRNA ncRNA". The record is from RNAcentral. Lineage: Eukaryota; Viridiplantae; Streptophyta; Magnoliopsida; Rosales; Rosaceae.